GCCAGAGUGGUAUAGUGGUUUGAGUGUUGGACUAUGUCUCUAGAGACCAGGGUUCAAAUCCCUGUUCAAAGA
RNAcentral lists this transfer RNA (72 nucleotides) under Phrynosoma platyrhinos (Desert horned lizard). RNAcentral describes it as "tRNA-OTHER". The record is from RNAcentral. Lineage: Eukaryota; Metazoa; Chordata; Lepidosauria; Squamata; Phrynosomatidae.